UACGUAGGCAGCGAGCGUUGUUCGGAGUUACUGGGCGUAAAGGGUGUGUAGGCGGUUUUCUAAGUUUGGUGUGAAAUCUCCCGGCUUAACCGGGAGGGUGCGCCGAAAACUGGGAGACUAGAGUGCGGGAUGGGAGAGUAGAAUUCCUGGUGUAGCGGUGAAAUGCGUAGAUAUCUGGAGGAAUACCGGUGGCGAAGGCGGCAUCCUGGACCGACAUUGACGCUGAUGAGCGAAAGCUAGGGGAGCAAACGGG
Molecule: ribosomal RNA, 253 nt
Filed under: uncultured bacterium
Lineage: Bacteria
Description: partial 16S ribosomal RNA
Rfam family: Bacterial small subunit ribosomal RNA
Source: RNAcentral